ACAUCAUUAGUUACCCCGUAAUAACUACCGUACACAAUGUAUAUGAAUCAUUUUAGAUUUUAGGUGUGUAUGUCGCGAGAUAGUACUCACGACAUUUUUACAUUGCCUAGUAAUGUAGAUCUAGGUCUUAUCGCACAACGAUCCAAUAGUUUUUAACAUUCCUAUCGUACAACAGUUAUACAAUAAUGGCACAGCAAGAAUCAUCCAGUACAACAUCGAGCCAGGCUCG
RNAcentral lists this long non-coding RNA (229 nucleotides) under Oryza brachyantha (malo sina). Its description in RNAcentral is "long non-coding RNA (OBRA_LNC002849)". The record is from RNAcentral. Lineage: Eukaryota; Viridiplantae; Streptophyta; Magnoliopsida; Poales; Poaceae.